UGAAAAUUCGUGUAGCGACAUCUAAUUUAUCUUUUACGUGUUUUACAAGUUUUCUACUUAAUGGUUAUUUGCGGGUUUUAAACUAUUUCCUUUUCCUUAUUGAACUUCUAUUUAUCGAUUAGGGCUUUAGUUUUGACUUAAGGUCGGCUUAGACCACCUCUAUAUAAGGUUUUGUAAUCCUUCGGGAAUAGUUAGUUGUUUAUCGAAUAAUAAAGAGUUUUUCUCUUGAUUGAAGUCUUCGAAUUCUCCCUGUCUAACAAAGAAUUUUGAGCAUCAAACAGAUCCUCUUGAUCCAUAGAUCCUCGAGACUCUGUUUUGAUAUUUAUCCGCUGCAACAGAUCCCUUGGAAGCUCUUUAGAGGAAAUUUGUCCUCAAAUCUGCCAGAGAAAAAGUGAUGGAGACCACAGUGAAAUCAACGACAAAACUAGGUCUGUAAAUUUAGAAUCGAUGGGGGCAAGAAAACAAAAAUGAUAGUUGAAUCUGGUGGGUCUGGUGAAACGGGUAGAUCCGGAGCCUCUUCUUCUACUUGCAUUGGUGUCAUCGACAGAGGAAUUGCACAAACAGGGGUUGAAGAGGGAGGCGGCGGCGGUUUCUCAGCAAGCAACGCAAGGCCGAUUACCUGGAAGCUUCUCGAUUCCCAUCGUGAGGCUGGUCAUCGGAUGGGACAGGACGGUCAUUGGUAAGGACCAGCACCGUUUAAGAGAAAACCAAACUUACCUCGAGUGUCGUGCCUGUGGCCAAACUAAUUUCUCUAUACGGGUAGUGUAAUUCUAGCAUUAACAUUCUAUCUACAUAUUGUCCUUAUGACAUUUUUUGAACUUUCUGUGUUUUGGUUGAACAUUUGUGGAAGUUCAGAGAUAACAAAAUUAGAAUUCAUUAACUUGAUGCACAGUGUUGGAUUCUUCGGCGUAUUCAUGGAUUUUCUAUGAGCGUAAUGAGAAUUCAUUGAAUUGUUGUCAAAGAUGUAGGCUGAAAAGCAAGUUUAUAUUUUGAGGUAGAGCUUCAAG
This 1007-nucleotide long non-coding RNA is filed under the name Eutrema salsugineum. RNAcentral describes it as "long non-coding RNA (ESAL_LNC001585)". Lineage: Eukaryota; Viridiplantae; Streptophyta; Magnoliopsida; Brassicales; Brassicaceae. The record is from RNAcentral.